CUACGGGUCGCAGCAAUGAGGAAUAUUGCACAAUGGGGGGAACCCUGAUGCAGCAACGCCGCGUGGAGGAUGACGCAUUUCGGUGUGUAAACUCCUCUUAUAUGUCAAGAAAAUGACGGUAGCAUAUGAAUAAGCACCGGCUAACUCCGUGCCAGCAGGCCGCGGUAAUACGGAGGGUGCAAGCGUUACUCGGAAUCACUGGGCGUAAAGGACGCGUAGGCGGGUUGGAAAGUCAGGUGUGAAAUCCUACAGCUUAACUGUAGAACUGCACUUGAAACUUCUAAUCUAGAGUAUGGGAGGGGGAGAUGGAAUUAGUGGUGUAGGGGUAAAAUCCGUAGAUAUCACUAGGAAUACCUAAAGCGAAGGCGAUCUCCUGGAACAUUACUGACGCUAAGGCGUGAAAGCGUGGGGAGCAAACAGGAUUAGAUACCCCAGUAGUC
This 440-nucleotide ribosomal RNA is filed under the name uncultured bacterium. RNAcentral's name for it is "partial 16S ribosomal RNA". It matches the Rfam family "Bacterial small subunit ribosomal RNA", at positions 339 to 795 of the family's 1533-position model. The record is from RNAcentral.